RNAcentral lists this long non-coding RNA (348 nucleotides) under Nicotiana benthamiana. Its description in RNAcentral is "long non-coding RNA (NBEN_LNC014933)". The record is from RNAcentral. Lineage: Eukaryota; Viridiplantae; Streptophyta; Magnoliopsida; Solanales; Solanaceae.
UCUUUCAUCAGACCCCUCCUCUUAUGAGCGCCGUCCUAAAAUCCACCAUUGCCGGUGGCGGCGCCACCUUCAAUCCCUCCCAAAUUAACACCCCAAUCUCCUCUCGUCCUCCCUGUCCCAUAUCUGAUAUUGGUUUUUCUCGAAUCGAACCAAAGCCUCUCGAAUCUUGAUUUUAAAGUCAGGUCCGAGUCUGAAAUUUGUCCAAACGAGCCCAAAUUGCUACCAGGUGGCUCACCGGUCUUCCUCACCUCGAAUCCAUGGUUAUUAUGCUUCAAAUCUCAGUGGUCCACCCUCAAUUCCACAUCUAGGGUUCAUUUUUUUGGCUUGGUUGAGGUGUCUUCUUUUAUG